RNAcentral lists this ribosomal RNA (379 nucleotides) under uncultured eukaryote. RNAcentral describes it as "partial 18S ribosomal RNA". It matches the Rfam family "Eukaryotic small subunit ribosomal RNA", at positions 592 to 976 of the family's 1831-position model. The record is from RNAcentral.
CAAUAGCGUAUAUUUAAGUUGUUGCAGUUAAAAAGCUCGUAGUUGGAUUUCGGAUGGGAUUUGCCGGUCCGUCGUUACGAUGUGCACUGGCCAGUCCUAUCUUGUUGUCGGGGACUAGCUCCUUGGAUUCACUUCCUGGGACUAGGAGCUGACGAGGUUACUUUGAGUAAAUUAGAGUGUUCAAAGCAAGCUUACGCUCUGAAUAUAAUAGCAUGGGAUAACACGACAGGACUCUGGCCUAUCGUGUUGGUCUAUAGGACCAGAGUAAUGAUUAAGAGGGACAGUCGGGGGCAUUCGUAUUCCGUUGUCAGAGGUGAAAUUCUUGGAUUUACGGAAGACGAACAUCUGCGAAAGCAUUUGCCAAGGAUGUUUUCAUUGA